GCGGCCGCGCGCGCGAUCCGCGAUGUCAGGUUGAGAUCGAGCAGGAAAUUCUGGCCCAGCGAUUUGCGCGCGGACAGUUCAAAGCGGCGGAUGACGUCGCUGAGCGGAGGCAGAUCGUCGAUGGCGCUCAUGCCUUCGAUGCCGAGGCCAUGCGUGCCGCGAGGCGCAGCGCCGCGAUCAGGCUCGACGGAUUGGCGCGGCCGGUGCCUGCGAUGUCGAACGCCGUGCCGUGGUCCGGCGAGGUGCGAAUGAACGGCAGUCCCAGCGUGACGUUGACGCCAUCAUCGAAGGCGAUGGUCUU
This 301-nucleotide unclassified non-coding RNA is filed under the name Hevea brasiliensis (rubber tree). Lineage: Eukaryota; Viridiplantae; Streptophyta; Magnoliopsida; Malpighiales; Euphorbiaceae. The record is from RNAcentral.